AACUUUUAACGGUGGAUCUCUAGGCUCGCGUAUCGAUGAAGAACGUAGCAAAGUGCGAUAAGUAGUGCGAAUUGCGAGUAUGAAUGUAGAGGAAAUGAUGGUAGUUUAUUGAAAUUAGUCAAUUUUAGACCUCAGAUCAGGCAAGACUACCCGCUGAACUUAAGCAUAUCAAUAAGCGGAG
RNAcentral lists this ribosomal RNA (181 nucleotides) under Trichoplax adhaerens. RNAcentral describes it as "5.8S ribosomal RNA". It matches the Rfam family "5.8S ribosomal RNA". From Rfam's summary of the family: 5.8S ribosomal RNA (5.8S rRNA) is a component of the large subunit of the eukaryotic ribosome. It is transcribed by RNA polymerase I as part of the 45S precursor that also contains 18S and 28S rRNA. The record is from RNAcentral. Lineage: Eukaryota; Metazoa; Placozoa; Uniplacotomia; Trichoplacea; Trichoplacidae.